Molecule: non-coding RNA, 236 nt
Organism: Pelobates cultripes (western spadefoot toad)
Lineage: Eukaryota; Metazoa; Chordata; Amphibia; Anura; Pelobatidae
Source: the annotation of a GenBank genome assembly
GUCUAAUAAUGUCUAAUAAAUGACCUAAAGAGGCAGAAAACAUUGAUGAAAACUUCAAGAAUUAAAGAAAGUACUUUAAAAAUGGCAAAUAUAUUGAGAAUUCAGAUGUUUGUACAGGAACAAAAAAAUCUAUUUAAUAAUAUAAAUGUGGACCUUACAUAGUUACAUAAGAGACAUGUGUCCAUCAAGUUCAGCCUUUUUCGCAUCUGUUUUUUGCUGUUGAUCCAAAAUAAGAC